CUUGCUCCACCGGAAAAAGAAGAGUGGCGAACGGGUGAGUAACACGUGGGUAACCUGCCCAUCAGAAGGGGAUAACACUUGGAAACAGGUGCUAAUACCGUAUAACAAUCGAAACCGCAUGGUUUUGAUUUGAAAGGCGCUUUCGGGUGUCGCUGAUGGAUGGACCCGCGGUGCAUUAGCUAGUUGGUGAGGUAACGGCUCACCAAGGCCACGAUGCAUAGCCGACCUGAGAGGGUGAUCGGCCACAUUGGGACUGAGACACGGCCCAAACUCCUACGGGAGGCAGCAGUAGGGAAUCUUCGGCAAUGGACGAAAGUCUGACCGAGCAACGCCGCGUGAGUGAAGAAGGUUUUCGGAUCGUAAAACUCUGUUGUUAGAGAAGAACAAGGAUGAGAGUAACUGUUCAUCCCUUGACGGUAUCUAACCAGAAAGCCACGGCUAACUACGUGCCAGCAGCCGCGGUAAUACGUAGGUGGCAAGCGUUGUCCGGAUUUAUUGGGCGUAAAGCGAGCGCAGGCGGUUUCUUAAGUCUGAUGUGAAAGCCCCCGGCUCAACCGGGGAGGGUCAUUGGAAACUGGGAGACUUGAGUGCAGAAGAGGAGAGUGGAAUUCCAUGUGUAGCGGUGAAAUGCGUAGAUAUAUGGAGGAACACCAGUGGCGAAGGCGGCUCUCUGGUCUGUAACUGACGCUGAGGCUCGAAAGCGUGGGGAGCAAACAGGAUUAGAUACCCUGGUAGUCCACGCCGUAAACGAUGAGUGCUAAGUGUUGGAGGGUUUCCGCCCUUCAGUGCUGCAGCUAACGCAUUAAGCACUCCGCCUGGGGAGUACGACCGCAAGGUUGAAACUCAAAGGAAUUGACGGGGGCCCGCACAAGCGGUGGAGCAUGUGGUUUAAUUCGAAGCAACGCGAAGAACCUUACCAGGUCUUGACAUCCUUUGACCACUCUAGAGAUAGAGCUUCCCCUUCGGGGGCAAAGUGACAGGUGGUGCAUGGUUGUCGUCAGCUCGUGUCGUGAGAUGUUGGGUUAAGUCCCGCAACGAGCGC
Molecule: ribosomal RNA, 1042 nt
Filed under: Enterococcus faecium
Lineage: Bacteria; Bacillati; Bacillota; Bacilli; Lactobacillales; Enterococcaceae
Description: bacterial SSU rRNA
Rfam family: Bacterial small subunit ribosomal RNA
Source: RNAcentral